Molecule: transfer RNA, 74 nt
Filed under: Bos taurus (domestic cattle)
Lineage: Eukaryota; Metazoa; Chordata; Mammalia; Artiodactyla; Bovidae
Description: tRNA-Asp (GTC) (tRNA-Asp-GTC-10-1)
Rfam family: tRNA
About the family: Transfer RNA (tRNA) molecules are approximately 80 nucleotides in length. Their secondary structure includes four short double-helical elements and three loops (D, anti-codon, and T loops). Further hydrogen bonds mediate the characteristic L-shaped molecular structure. tRNAs have two regions of fundamental functional importance: the anti-codon, which is responsible for specific mRNA codon recognition, and the 3' end, to which the tRNAs corresponding amino acid is attached (by aminoacyl-tRNA synthetases). tRNAs cope with the degeneracy of the genetic code in two manners: having more than one tRNA (with a specific anti-codon) for a particular amino acid; and 'wobble' base-pairing, i.e. permitting non-standard base-pairing at the 3rd anti-codon position.
Source: RNAcentral
UCCCUGGUGGUCCAGUGGCUAGGACUCGGCACUGUCACUGCCGUGGGCCUGGGGUUCAAUCCCUGGUCAGGGAA